CAGGCAUAAGAGAUAGUAACUUGAACCUGUAUUCAAGAGGAAAGUCCGAGCUGCUGUAAGACAGUGUUCCAUUUAACUAAUGGCCGUAGCAAUACGAGGGAAAGUGCAACAGAAAACAAACUUCUACCUUUUGGUAGUAAAGGUGAAAAGGUGGUGUAAGAGACCACCAGUCUUUAUAGCAAUAUAGAGAGCUUGUAAACCCAACAUGGCAGCAAGAAACAAAUGGUUAGCGUCUUACAAUGCUAUUGUUUCGCUAGAGGCACAACGCAAGAUGUGCAGUAGAUUAAUGCUAUCACUACAAAACUCGGCUUAUCUUAUGCCUGAAAA
RNAcentral lists this RNase P RNA (327 nucleotides) under Sulfurimonas sediminis. RNAcentral's name for it is "Sulfurimonas sp. S2-6 RNase P RNA component class A". It matches the Rfam family "Bacterial RNase P class A". Rfam says of the family: Ribonuclease P (RNase P) is a ubiquitous endoribonuclease, found in archaea, bacteria and eukarya as well as chloroplasts and mitochondria. Its best characterised activity is the generation of mature 5'-ends of tRNAs by cleaving the 5'-leader elements of precursor-tRNAs. Cellular RNase Ps are ribonucleoproteins. The record is from RNAcentral. Lineage: Bacteria; Pseudomonadati; Campylobacterota; Epsilonproteobacteria; Campylobacterales; Sulfurimonadaceae. RNAcentral also lists the same sequence under 1 other name.